AUUGAACGCUGGCGGCAGGCUUAACACAUGCAAGUCGAGCGGUAACAGAGAGAAGCUUGCUUCUCUGCUGACGAGCGGCGGACGGGUGAGUAAUGCCUAGGAAUCUGCCUAGUAGUGGGGGAUAACUUGCCGAAAGGUAAGCUAAUACCUCAUACGUCCUACGGGAGAAAGGAGGGGACCUUCGGGCCUUUCGCUAUUAGAUGAGCCUAGGUCGGAUUAGUUAGUUGGUGAGGUAAUGGCUCACCAAGACCGCGAUCCGUAACUGGUCUGAGAGGAUGAUCAGUCACACUGGAACAGAGACACAGUCCAGACUCCUACGGGAGGCAGCAGUGGGGGAUAUUGGACAAUGGGGGGAACCCUGAUCCAGCCAUGCCGCGUGUGUGAAGAAGGUCUUAGGAUUGUAAAGCACUUUAAGUUGGGAGGAAGAGCAGUUAACUAAUAUUUGACUGUUUUGACGUUACCGACAGAAUAAGCACCGGCUAACUUCGUGCCAGCAGCCGCAGUAA
RNAcentral lists this ribosomal RNA (506 nucleotides) under uncultured bacterium. RNAcentral describes it as "partial 16S ribosomal RNA". It matches the Rfam family "Bacterial small subunit ribosomal RNA", at positions 30 to 523 of the family's 1533-position model. The record is from RNAcentral.